GAGCCCAGAGCCUGAAUCAGUGUGUGUGUUAGUGGAAGCGUCUGGAAAGGCGCGCGAUACAGGGUGACAGCCCCGUACACAAAAAUGCACAUGCUGUGAGCUCGAUGAGUAGGGCGGGACACGUGGUAUCCUGUCUGAAUAUGGGGGGACCAUCCUCCAAGGCUAAAUACUCCUGACUGACCGAUAGUGAACCAGUACCGUGAGGGAAAGGCGAAAAGAACCCCGGCGAGGGGAGUGAAAAAGAACCUGAAACCGUGUACGUACAAGCAGUGGGAGCCUCUUAAUGGGGUGACUGCGUACCUUUUGUAUAAUGGGUCAGCGACUUAUAUUCUGUAGCAAGGUUAACCGAAUAGGGGAGCCGAAGGGAAACCGAGUCUUAACUGGGCGUUAAGUUGCAGGGUAUAGACCCGAAACCCGGUGAUCUAGCCAUGGGCAGGUUGAAGGUUGGGUAACACUAACUGGAGGACCGAACCGACUAAUGUUGAAAAAUUAGCGGAUGACUUGUGGCUGGGGGUGAAAGGCCAAUCAAACCGGGAGAUAGCUGGUUCUCCCCGAAAGCUAUUUAGGUAGCGCCUCGUGAACUCAUCUCCGGGGGUAGAGCACUGUUUCGGCAAGGGGGUCAUCCCGACUUACCAACCCGAUGCAAACUGCGAAUACCGGAGAAUGUUAUCACGGGAGACACACGGCGGGUGCUAACGUCCGUCGUGAAGAGGGAAACAACCCAGACCGCCAGCUAAGGUCCCAAAGUCAUGGUUAAGUGGGAAACGAUGUGGGAAGGCCCAGACAGCCAGGAUGUUGGCUUAGAAGCAGCCAUCAUUUAAAGAAAGCGUAAUAGCUCACUGGUCGAGUCGGCCUGCGCGGAAGAUGUAACGGGGCUAAACCAUGCACCGAAGCUGCGGCAGCGACGCUUAUGCGUUGUUGGGUAGGGGAGCGUUCUGUAAGCCUGCGAAGGUGUACUGUGAGGUAUGCUGGAGGUAUCAGAAGUGCGAAUGCUGACAUAAGUAACGAUAAAGCGGGUGAAAAGCCCGCUCGCCGGAAGACCAAGGGUUCCUGUCCAACGUUAAUCGGGGCAGGGUGAGUCGACCCCUAAGGCGAGGCCGAAAGGCGUAGUCGAUGGGAAACAGGUUAAUAUUCCUGUACUUGGUGUUACUGCGAAGGGGGGACGGAGAAGGCUAUGUUGGCCGGGCGACGGUUGUCCCGGUUUAAGCGUGUAGGCUGGUUUUCCAGGCAAAUCCGGAAAAUCAAGGCUGAGGCGUGAUGACGAGGCACUACGGUGCUGAAGCAACAAAUGCCCUGCUUCCAGGAAAAGCCUCUAAGCAUCAGGUAACAUCAAAUCGUACCCCAAACCGACACAGGUGGUCAGGUAGAGAAUACCAAGGCGCUUGAGAGAACUCGGGUGAAGGAACUAGGCAAAAUGGUGCCGUAACUUCGGGAGAAGGCACGCUGAUACGUAGGUGAAGCGACUUGCUCGUGGAGCUGAAAUCAGUCGAAGAUACCAGCUGGCUGCAACUGUUUAUUAAAAACACAGCACUGUGCAAACACGAAAGUGGACGUAUACGGUGUGACGCCUGCCCGGUGCCGGAAGGUUAAUUGAUGGGGUUAGCGGUAACGCGAAGCUCUUGAUCGAAGCCCCGGUAAACGGCGGCCGUAACUAUAACGGUCCUAAGGUAGCGAAAUUCCUUGUCGGGUAAGUUCCGACCUGCACGAAUGGCGUAAUGAUGGCCAGGCUGUCUCCACCCGAGACUCAGUGAAAUUGAACUCGCUGUGAAGAUGCAGUGUACCCGCGGCAAGACGGAAAGACCCCGUGAACCUUUACUAUAGCUUGACACUGAACAUUGAGCCUUGAUGUGUAGGAUAGGUGGGAGGCUUUGAAGUGUGGACGCCAGUCUGCAUGGAGCCGACCUUGAAAUACCACCCUUUAAUGUUUGAUGUUCUAACGUUGGCCCCUAAUCGGGGUUGCGGACAGUGUCUGGUGGGUAGUUUGACUGGGGCGGUCUCCUCCUAAAGAGUAACGGAGGAGCACGAAGGUUGGCUAAUCCUGGUCGGACAUCAGGAGGUUAGUGCAAUGGCAUAAGCCAGCUUGACUGCGAGCGUGACGGCGCGAGCAGGUGCGAAAGCAGGUCAUAGUGAUCCGGUGGUUCUGAAUGGAAGGGCCAUCGCUCAACGGAUAAAAGGUACUCCGGGGAUAACAGGCUGAUACCGCCCAAGAGUUCAUAUCGACGGCGGUGUUUGGCACCUCGAUGUCGGCUCAUCACAUCCUGGGGCUGAAGUAGGUCCCAAGGGUAUGGCUGUUCGCCAUUUAAAGUGGUACGCGAGCUGGGUUUAGAACGUCGUGAGACAGUUCGGUCCCUAUCUGCCGUGGGCGCUGGAGAACUGAGGGGGGCUGCUCCUAGUACGAGAGGACCGGAGUGGACGCAUCACUGGUGUUCGGGUUGUCAUGCCAAUGGCACUGCCCGGUAGCUAAAUGCGGAAGAGAUAAGUGCUGAAAGCAUCUAAGCACGAAACUUGCCCCGAGAUGAGUUCUCCCUGACUCCCUGAGAGUCCUGAAGGAACGUUGAAGACGACGACGUUGAUAGGCCGGGUGUGUAAGCGCAGCGAUGCGUUGAGCUAACCGGUACUAAUGAACCGUGAGGCUUAACCUU
This 2642-nucleotide ribosomal RNA is filed under the name Escherichia coli. RNAcentral's name for it is "bacterial LSU rRNA". It matches the Rfam family "Bacterial large subunit ribosomal RNA", at positions 295 to 2925 of the family's 2925-position model. Lineage: Bacteria; Pseudomonadati; Pseudomonadota; Gammaproteobacteria; Enterobacterales; Enterobacteriaceae. The record is from RNAcentral.